GACAGAGGUGCCAAGCGUUAGGCGGAAUCACUGGGCUUAAAGCGUGUGUAGGUGGAUUUGUAAGUACCUUGUGAAAUCUCACGGCUCAACCGUGGAACUGCUCGGUAUACUGCGAAUCUUGAGCCACUUAGGGGCUACCGGAACAAAUGGUGGAGCGGUGAAAUGCGUAGAUAUCAUUUGGAACGCCAAUGGUGAAAACAGGUAGCUGGGAGUGUGCUGACACUGAGACACGAAAGCCAGGGGAGCGAACGGG
Molecule: ribosomal RNA, 253 nt
Filed under: uncultured prokaryote
Description: partial 16S ribosomal RNA
Rfam family: Bacterial small subunit ribosomal RNA
Source: RNAcentral